Molecule: ribosomal RNA, 494 nt
Filed under: uncultured Ureibacillus sp.
Lineage: Bacteria; Bacillati; Bacillota; Bacilli; Caryophanales; Caryophanaceae
Description: partial 16S ribosomal RNA
Source: RNAcentral
CACGUAGUUAGCCGUGGCUUUCUAGUAAGGUACCGUCAAGGUGCAGCCAGUUACUACUGCACUUGUUCUUCCCUUACAACAGAGCUUUACGAUCCGAAGACCUUCUUCGCUCACGCGGCGUUGCUCCAUCAGGCUUUCGCCCAUUGUGGAAGAUUCCCUACUGCUGCCUCCCGUAGGAGUCUGGGCCGUGUCUCAAUCCCAGUGUGGCCGAUCACCCUCUCAGGUCGGCUACGCAUCGUCGCCUUGGUAGGCCGUUACCCCACCAACAAGCUAAUGCGCCGCGGGCCCAUCCUAUAGUGAUAGCAGAACCAUCUUUCAACACCAAAGCAUGCACUCUGAUGUGUUAUCCGGUAUUAGCACGCGUUUCCGCGAGUUAUCCCAGUCUAUAGGGCAGAUUACCCACGUGUUACUCACCCGUCCGCCGCUAACCUCAUGAAAGCUAGGCUUUCAAUUGGUUCGCUCGACUUGCAUGUAUUAGGCACGCCGCCAGCGUC